Molecule: ribosomal RNA, 423 nt
Filed under: uncultured Pyramimonadales
Lineage: Eukaryota; Viridiplantae; Chlorophyta; Pyramimonadophyceae; Pyramimonadales
Description: partial Bacterial large subunit ribosomal RNA
Rfam family: Bacterial large subunit ribosomal RNA
Source: RNAcentral
GCGAGUCUUAAUAGGGCGCAUGAGUUAGGUGGAUCAGACCCGAAACCGAGUGAUCUAGGCAUGGCCAGGUUGAAGGUACGGUAACACGUACUGGAGGACCGAACCCACAUCCGUUGAAAAGGAUCGGGAUGAGCUGUGCCUAGGGGUGAAAGGCCAAUCAAACUCGGAGAUAGCUGGUUCUCUGCGAAAUCUAUUUAGGUAGAGCGUCAUCCGUAUACCCUCGGGGGUAGAGCACUGGAUGGGUAAUGGGGCCCCACAGGCUUACUGAUCCUAACCAAACUCCGAAUACCGAGGAGUACUAGAUGGCAGACACACGGCGAAUGCUAACGUCCGUCGUGGAGAGGGAAACAACCCUGACCUACAGCUAAGGCCCCUAAUUCAUGGCUAAGUGGGAAAGCAGGUGGGACGACCAAAACAACCAGG